This 1252-nucleotide long non-coding RNA is filed under the name Coturnix japonica (Japanese quail). RNAcentral's name for it is "lncRNA (ENSCJPG00005001523.1)". The record is from RNAcentral. Lineage: Eukaryota; Metazoa; Chordata; Aves; Galliformes; Phasianidae.
AUCCCUAUGGGGUCCUAUGGGGUAUCCCUAUGGGGUCUUAUGGGGUAUCCCUAUGGGGUCCUAUGGGGUAUCCCUAUGGGGUCCUAUGGGGUCCUAUGGGGUAUCCCUAUGGGGUCUUAUGGGGUAUCCCUAUGGGGUCCUAUGGGGUAUCCCUAUGGGGUCUUAUGGGGUAUCUCUAUGGGGUCUUGGGGACACCCCUAUGGGGUCUUUGGGGUCCUUUGGUUCCUAUUAAAGCCAUUGUGCCACUGCAGCUGUGUGCUCUGCUGGGACCCCCCCCAUUGAUGUCCCCAUUCAUGUCCCUCACCCCAUUCAUGUCCCCAUUCAUGUCCCCAUUCAUGUCCCCAUUCAUGUCUCACCCCAUUCAUGUCCCCAUUCAUGUCCCCAUUCAUGCAUUGCCCCCAUUGAUACCCCCCCCAUUCAUGACCCCAUUGAUGCCCCCACCCCAUUGAUGUCUCCCCAUUGAUGUCCCUAUUGCUAUCCCCAUUCAUGUCCCUCACCCCAUUGAUAUCCCCCCCAUUGCUGUCCCCAUUGAUGCCCCCCACCCCAUUGCUGGCCCCAUUGCUGUCCCCCCAUUGAUGCCCCCAUUCAUGUCCCCAUUCAUGCCCCUCGCCCCAUUGAUAUCCCCCCAUUGCUGUCCCCAUUGAUGCCCCCACCCCAUUGAUGUCUCCCCAUUGAUGUCCCUAUUGCUAUCCCCAUUCAUAUCCCUCACCCCAUUCAUGUCCUCCCAUUCAUGUCCCCAUUCAUGUCUCCAUUGAUGCCCCUCGCCCCAUUGAUAUCCCCUCAUUCAUGUCCCCAUUCAUGUCCCCUCAUUGAUAUCCCCCCCCCAUUGAUGUCCACAUUCAUGUCCCCCACCCCAUUCAUGUCCCCAUUGCUGCCCCCACCCCAUUCAUGUCCCCAUUGAUGUCCCCACCCCAUUGAUACCCCCCCAUUCAUGUCCCCAUUCAUGUCUCCAUUGAUGUCCUCGCCCCAUUGAUAUCCCCCCAUUCAUGUCCCUAUUCAUGUCCCCUCAUUGAUAUCCCCCCCCAUUGAUGUCCCCAUUCAUGUCCCCCACCCCAUUGAUGUCCCCAUUGAUGUCCCCACCCCAGUGAUUUCCCCCCAUUCAUUGUCCCCACCCCACUGAUGUCCCCAUUAAUGUCUUGACCCCAUUCAUGUCCCACCCCAUUGAAUAUCCCCCAUUGAUGUCACCACCUCUUCAAUGUCCUCCCGCAGUUCAUGUCCCCAUUCACUGUCCUCUCUCCCCAUUGAUGUCCCC